GCCGGGCAUGGUGGCGGGUGCCUGUAGUCCCAGCUACUAGGGAGGCUGAGGCAGGAGAAUUGCUUGAACCCGGGAGACAGAGAUUGCAGUGAGCUGAGGUGGUGCCACUGCAUUCCUGCCUGGGCAACAGAGCAAGACUCCAUCUCAC
Pongo abelii (Sumatran orangutan) is the source of this 148-nucleotide unclassified non-coding RNA. It matches the Rfam family "Metazoan signal recognition particle RNA". Rfam says of the family: The signal recognition particle (SRP) is a universally conserved ribonucleoprotein. Lineage: Eukaryota; Metazoa; Chordata; Mammalia; Primates; Hominidae. The record is from Ensembl.